CCUACGGGCGGCAGCAGUGAGGAAUAUUGGUCAAUGGGCGCGAGACUGAACCAGCCAAGUAGCGUGAAGGAUGACUGCCCUACGGGUUGUAAACUUCUUUUAUCAAGGAAUAAAGUGAGGCACGUGUGCCUUUUUGUAUGUACUUUAUGAAUAAGGAUCGGCUAACUCCGUGCCAGCAGCCGCGGUAAUACGGAGGAUCCGAGCGUUAUACGGAUUUAUUGGGUUUAAAGGGAGCGUAGAUGGGUUGUUAAGUCAGUUGUGAAAGUUUGCGGCUCAACCGGAAAAUUGCAAUUGAUACUGGCAGUCUUGAGUACAGUUGAGGUAGGCGGAAUUCGUGGUGUAGCGGUGAAAUGCUUAGAUAUCACGAAGAACUCCGAUUGCGAAGGCAGCUUACUAAACUGCCACUGACAUUGAUGCUCGAAAGUGUGGGUAUCAAACAGGAUUAGAUACCCCUGUAGUC
Molecule: ribosomal RNA, 460 nt
Filed under: uncultured bacterium
Lineage: Bacteria
Description: partial 16S ribosomal RNA
Rfam family: Bacterial small subunit ribosomal RNA
Source: RNAcentral